Molecule: ribosomal RNA, 264 nt
Filed under: Vibrio parahaemolyticus
Lineage: Bacteria; Pseudomonadati; Pseudomonadota; Gammaproteobacteria; Vibrionales; Vibrionaceae
Description: partial 16S ribosomal RNA
Rfam family: Bacterial small subunit ribosomal RNA
Source: RNAcentral
GGGGGGUAGAAUUUCAGGUGUAGCGGUGAAAUGCGUAGAGAUCUGAAGGAAUACCGGUGGCGAAGGCGGCCCCCUGGACAGAUACUGACACUCAGAUGCGAAAGCGUGGGGAGCAAACAGGAUUAGAUACCCUGGUAGUCCACGCCGUAAACGAUGUCUACUUGGAGGUUGUGGCCUUGAGCCGUGGCUUUCGGAGCUAACGCGUUAAGUAGACCGCCUGGGGAGUACGGUCGCAAGAUUAAAACUCAAAUGAAUUGACGGGGG